GAUGAACGCUGGCGGCGUGCCUAAUACAUGCAAGUCGAGCGAACGGACGAGAAGCUUGCUUCUCUGAUGUUAGCGGCGGACGGGUGAGUAACACGUGGAUAACCUACCUAUAAGACUGGGAUAACUUCGGGAAACCGGAGCUAAUACCGGAUAAUAUUUUGAACCGCAUGGUUCAAAAGUGAAAGACGGUCUUGCUGUCACUUAUAGAUGGAUCCGCGCUGCAUUAGCUAGUUGGUAAGGUAACGGCUUACCAAGGCAACGAUGCAUAGCCGACCUGAGAGGGUGAUCGGCCACACUGGAACUGAGACACGGUCCAGACUCCUACGGGAGGCAGCAGUAGGGAAUCUUCCGCAAUGGGCGAAAGCCUGACGGAGCAACGCCGCGUGAGUGAUGAAGGUCUUCGGAUCGUANAACUCUGUUAUUAGGGAAGAACAUAUGUGUAAGUAACUGUGCACAUCUUGACGGUACCUAAUCAGAAAGCCACGGCUAACUACGUGCCAGCAGCCGCGGUAAUACGUAGGUGGCAAGCGUUAUCCGGAAUUAUUGGGCGUAAAGCGCGCGUAGGCGGUUUUUUAAGUCUGAUGUGAAAGCCCACGGCUCAACCGUGGAGGGUCAUUGGAAACUGGAAAACUUGAGUGCAGAAGAGGAAAGUGGAAUUCCAUGUGUAGCGGUGAAAUGCGCAGAGAUAUGGAGGAACACCAGUGGCGAAGGCGACUUUCUGGUCUGUAACUGACGCUGAUGUGCGAAAGCGUGGGGAUCAAACAGGAUUAGAUACCCUGGUAGUCCACGCCGUAAACGAUGAGUGCUAAGUGUUAGGGGGUUUCCGCCCCUUAGUGCUGCAGCUAACGCAUUAAGCACUCCGCCUGGGGAGUACGACCGCAAGGUUGAAACUCAAAGGAAUUGACGGGGACCCGCACAAGCGGUGGAGCAUGUGGUUUAAUUCGAAGCAACGCGAAGAACCUUACCAAAUCUUGACAUCCUUUGACAACUCUAGAGAUAGAGCCUUCCCCUUCGGGGGACAAAGUGACAGGUGGUGCAUGGUUGUCGUCAGCUCGUGUCGUGAGAUGUUGGGUUAAGUCCCGCAACGAGCGCAACCCUUAAGCUUAGUUGCCAUCAUUAAGUUGGGCACUCUAAGUUGACUGCCGGUGACAAACCGGAGGAAGGUGGGGAUGACGUCAAAUCAUCAUGCCCCUUAUGAUUUGGGCUACACACGUGCUACAAUGGACAAUACAAAGGGCAGCGAAACCGCGAGGUCAAGCAAAUCCCAUAAAGUUGUUCUCAGUUCGGAUUGUAGUCUGCAACUCGACUACAUGAAGCUGGAAUCGCUAGUAAUCGUAGAUCAGCAUGCUACGGUGAAUACGUUCCCGGGUCU
Molecule: ribosomal RNA, 1372 nt
Filed under: uncultured bacterium
Lineage: Bacteria
Description: bacterial SSU rRNA
Rfam family: Bacterial small subunit ribosomal RNA
Source: RNAcentral